AUUAAAACCCUCGCGGCCUGGAUUACAGUGAAAUGAGAGGAUGGUGUAUGACUCGGCGAUAUUGUGGUCUCUGUGUAAUGCUGCUAAAUGUCGGGUGUACCGACAAACUGUGUACACUCUGAGCUCAGAAACGGAGGAUACUGUCUUUAGGCCCGUCUACCUUUGUUACAAUAACUCGAGUUCAGCUUCGUGUGUGACCAAGAAAUGAUAUCAGUGUUAGCAUUUUAGGCGUUGGCUCGAUGUUCUGCAGGAAGUUGUGGUAUAACACAUUUUUUCAUGUAUUUAUUUUCGGAUUUCGCUGUCAUCCAUCUAUGCAUCGUUUCAUUGUGGUCAUGGAGGUAGCAGAUCCCACAGAUGCCCUGACCUCCCUCUAUCCAGCUUCUUCAUCUAGCUCUUCUGGGAGCACCUGAAGGCAUUCCCAAGCCAGCUGAAAGAUUUAAUCUCUCCAGUGUGUCCUGAGUGUGCUCCAGGGUCUUUGUUGGAUGUGGUUGGUCUGAAACACCUCACCCAGGAGGCAUUCAGAUGUCUGAUCUACCUCGUUGGCUGCGUUCUCCCUCUGUAAAUGGGCACAGCAGUGAUGGUGGAGGGGGUUUUGAGCCCUGUGAUUCUUCUGCUGUUCUGUCAGGUUGUUGUAAAAGCUCCAUGAAGGGUCUUUAGUUGAUCCAAGUCAAGUUAGCUUUAUUUGUAAAGCAUGUUUAAAAGACAUGUGGUCAAACUUGCAAACUUAGGGGAUCGGCUGUCCACUCCCCUCCCUGGACUUUAUUCCCAGCUCAAGAUGUCUCUCCAGAGCCAGAGCAAUUAUAUAGGACCACCUCCAUCCUAACCACCACCUCUUCAACAUCCUGCCCCUGGACAAAGGUUCAGAUGCAUCAGGUGCAAAACCAACAGAUUAAAGAACAGCUUCUUCCCGUGGGCUGUCAGAACUCUUAAUGCAAACUAAGAGUGUGUAAAGACUUCCCCAACACAUCCACUCUGACACUGCUGUUGAUCAUCUAUGUGCAACAUCUCAGUCUUUUCAUGUUCUG
This is a long non-coding RNA of Astatotilapia calliptera (eastern happy), 1025 nucleotides long. The record is from Ensembl. NCBI's taxonomy places the organism in Eukaryota, Metazoa, Chordata, Actinopteri, Cichliformes, Cichlidae.